RNAcentral lists this long non-coding RNA (633 nucleotides) under Vulpes vulpes (red fox). Its description in RNAcentral is "lncRNA (ENSVVUG00000015535.1)". Lineage: Eukaryota; Metazoa; Chordata; Mammalia; Carnivora; Canidae. The record is from RNAcentral.
CCUCAAUAGACCGUGUUACAUGACCCUUGUGCUGUAGGUGUGUGAUGGGGGUUCUCUUGCUGCUGAGAAAGAAGACCUUGAUUUUAAAGACCUCUUACAGGACCUGAGAAGAUACAUACACACCAAAACACAAGGCAAAGAUGGAGGAAAGGAAGGAGCACCCAGCUACGUGGACUUCUGGAGCCGGAAGCCCCUCUGAGAUGCCAGGGAGCAUGAGAUUGUCUUAUUGGCAGAGGCCAGCGGUGCCUGGUGCCACAGUGGGCCUUUCUAUUCGUUCAAAUGUGACACCAGAGGAAGGCUGGGACAUCUAUCCGCUCUGCAAUGUUGACAUGCUUCACGUGUGGACUUCAUCCCCUGAUAUAUGCCUGUCAAUUUCCUACCAACUAAUGGUCAUAUAUAGAGGCUUUGUCAGAUUCAGGAGGCAUAUAAAGUCUGGCCUCACUAUUUGUGGUGUCAUCGGCUACUGAAAAAUUGUUGCCCGACUCCUGGAUGAGGAUACGGAAGCAUGCAGAGUUUAAUUUGGCCAAGUGCUCAAGACAUAGAGGAAGUCUCCAGGAAACUAUGCCACUGAGCUCUACACUACAGACCAGUAUUGAAAACUCGUUAUGAAUUCUGAGUGUAAUUCAAAUAUAU